UAGGGAAUCUUCGGCAAUGGACGAAAGUCUGACCGAGCAACGCCGCGUGAGUGAAGAAGGUUUUCGGAUCGUAAAACUCUGUUGUUAGAGAAGAACAAGGACGUUAGUAACUGAACGUCCCCUGACGGUAUCUAACCAGAAAGCCACGGCUAACUACGUGCCAGCAGCCGCGGUAAUACGGAGGGUGCAAGCGUUAAUCGGAAUUACUGGGCGUAAAGCGCACGCAGGCGGUUGAUUGAGUCAGAUGUGAAAUCCCCGGGCUUAACCCGGGAAUUGCAUCUGAUACUGGUCAGCUAGAGUCUUGUAGAGGGGGGUAGAAUUCCAUGUGUAGCGGUGAAAUGCGUAGAGAUGUGGAGGAAUACCGGUGGCGAAGGCGGCCCCCUGGACAGAGACUGACGCUCAGGUGCGAAAGCGUGGGGAGCAAACAGG
Molecule: ribosomal RNA, 429 nt
Filed under: Chloroflexota bacterium
Lineage: Bacteria; Bacillati; Chloroflexota
Description: Chloroflexi bacterium partial 16S ribosomal RNA
Rfam family: Bacterial small subunit ribosomal RNA
Source: RNAcentral